RNAcentral lists this ribosomal RNA (971 nucleotides) under uncultured bacterium. RNAcentral describes it as "bacterial SSU rRNA". It matches the Rfam family "Bacterial small subunit ribosomal RNA", at positions 8 to 980 of the family's 1533-position model. The record is from RNAcentral.
AGAGUUUGAUCAUGGCUCAGAUUGAACGCUGGCGGCAGGCCUAACACAUGCAAGUCGAGCGGUAACAGAUCUAGCUUGCUAGAUGCUGACGAGCGGCGGACGGGUGAGUAAUGCAUAGGAAUCUGCCCUGUAGUGGGGGAUAACCUGGGGAAACCCAGGCUAAUACCGCAUACGUCCUACGGGAGAAAGGGGGCUUCGGCUCCCGCUACGGGAUGAGCCUAUGUCGGAUUAGCUAGUUGGUGAGGUAACGGCUCACCAAGGCGACGAUCCGUAGCUGGUCUGAGAGGAUGAUCAGCCACAUCGGGACUGAGACACGGCCCGAACUCCUACGGGAGGCAGCAGUGGGGAAUAUUGGACAAUGGGGGGAACCCUGAUCCAGCCAUGCCGCGUGCAGGAAGACUGCCCUAUGGGUUGUAAACUGCUUUUACAGAGGAAGAACCACUCCCACGUGUGGGAGUUUGACGGUACUCUGCGAAUAAGGAUCGGCUAACUCCGUGCCAGCAGCCGCGGUAAUACGGAGGAUCCAAGCGUUAUCCGGAAUCAUUGGGUUUAAAGGGUCCGUAGGCGGGCAGUUAAGUCAGUGGUGAAAGUCUUCCGCUCAACGGGAGAACUGCCAUUGAUACUGAUUGUCUUGAGUUAUUAUGAAGUGGUUAGAAUGAGUAGUGUAGCGGUGAAAUGCAUAGAUAUUACUCAGAAUACCGAUUGCGAAGGCAGAUCACUAAUAAUAUACUGACGCUGAUGGACGAAAGCGUAGGUAGCGAACAGGAUUAGAUACCCUGGUAGUCUACGCCGUAAACGAUGGUUACUAGCUGUUCGGCCCGAUUAAGGGCUGAGUGGUUAAGCGAAAGUGAUAAGUAACCCACCUGGGGAGUACGUUCGCAAGAAUGAAACUCAAAGGAAUUGACGGGGGCCCGCACAAGCGGUGGAGCAUGUGGUUUAAUUCGAUGAUACGCGAGGAACCUUACCAGGGC